GUGGUUAGCAACAAUUCAAUCCAGUCAUGGAUUUGCCAACGAUUUACGAGUGCCGAGAUUGAGAGGUAAGAAGAUCUGAAACUCAUUGGUGGAAAAGAUUGUUUGGGUGUUGAUGUAGUCGGCAUUUGGGAUCUCAAGGAUUCUAAGAACGUUCUUCCACUACAAGAUUAUGUUAUUUGAGUUGAUAAGAUGACAAAGAACUUGAACACUACGACUUUCAUGGGUGGUGAUUUCCAGAUUUAGGAUGACAGUUCACUUUUUGGCUUUUGCCAAUUGUCUCUCGAAGGACGGUUCUGUAAGAUAGUAAAUGAAGGUUUUUGGAUUUCUAUUGAACUUGAGGGAAGCAAGGUUUAGGCCGUUCUUGAAUAUCACAGGACUGUGCCCUAUGUAUAAAGAUCAGUAAACAAAAGAAUCG
RNAcentral lists this long non-coding RNA (415 nucleotides) under Helianthus annuus (common sunflower). RNAcentral describes it as "sRNA HanXRQr2_Chr15g0684501". Lineage: Eukaryota; Viridiplantae; Streptophyta; Magnoliopsida; Asterales; Asteraceae. The record is from RNAcentral.